GUGGGGAAUAUUGGACAAUGGGCGAAAGCCUGAUCCAGCCAUGCCGCGUGUGUGAAGAAGGUCUUCGGAUUGUAAAGCACUUUAAGUUGGGAGGAAGGGCAGUAAGUUAAUACCUUGCUGUUUUGACGUUACCGACAGAAUAAGCACCGGCUAACUUCGUGCCAGCAGCCGCGGUAAUACGAAGGGUGCAAGCGUUAAUCGGAAUUACUGGGCGUAAAGCGCGCGUAGGUGGUUUUGUAAGUUGGAGGUGAAAUCCCCGGGCUCAACCUGGGAACUGCCUCCAAAACUGCAUGACUAGAGUACGGUAGAGGGUAGUGGAAUUUCAUGUGUAGCGGUGAAAUGCGUAGAUAUAGGAAGGAACACCAGUGGCGAAGGCGACUACCUGGACUGAUACUGACACUGAGGUGCGAAAGCGUGGGGAGCAAACAGGAUUAGAUACCCGGGUAGUCC
Molecule: ribosomal RNA, 450 nt
Filed under: uncultured bacterium
Lineage: Bacteria
Description: partial 16S ribosomal RNA
Rfam family: Bacterial small subunit ribosomal RNA
Source: RNAcentral